AGUAUUGGUGGUGGUGGUGGUGGUGGUAGUGGUGGUGGUGGUUGCGAGUAGCGCGAUAGAGUCCGAUGGUGCAGUCAACGUUGGGACCGGUAGCCCAAAAGACACACGCGGAUCUCACGCGUUCUCUUCACACCCCUCUCGUCGAGCACCCCUUCUGACACCUCUUACAUCUUCGAACGGUCGUACGGCCCUGAAAGAAACGUGGCGUGAUUCGAACUACAUAUUUUCUCUUUCUCUCUCUCUCUCUCUCUUUCUCUCUCCCGUCUUAGGACACGCUCCAAGUCCGCAGGCAAACGAACACGUAGCAGCCGUAUACAUCGGCCAUGGUGCUCGUUUACCGGGCCGAGUGGUGGGUGUGUGAUAAAAAUAUAAUGCUGGUGACGCGCGUGACACGAUACAACGCGAUAUGACAGUUCCUUCGGUUCUUUGGUCGUCGUAUCCCUGCUGCGUAUGGAUUCGCGUGUGACCAGACGAUAAACGCAAUGUUGUGACGCGUGACACACCGCGCACCGGUCCGCACACGGCGUUUCGAUGCUCAGGGACGUUGCCACUGUUCCUUCGCCUCCUCUUCUCUCGCGCACAUCCGAGCAUGGAUGAUAAAUGCUCGAGCGAACGGUAAAUGCCAUCCCGGGACCCGAAUUUAUCGAUUUUCGUACACACGCGUAUCAUUUGAUCGGUAUAUGUGAUUUAUUCUACGUUCGGAUAAGCGGUGUGCUCGUUUUCGGUGUAACGUUUUCCUUGUUCACCAGGAUUUUCCAUUUCCACACCGUGUCACAGGUUCUCGCAGAAAUAUGACGCUACCGCUACGCGCCUUUUUGAGGACAAUGACCCCGUGCACCUUGCUUUCUUCCUAGUGUGUCUCACGUUCGUUGCUGAUUUUAACGUUUUUACUUUUUUUUUUCUUUACUUAUCUUUCCGCUCCAUUUGUCCGAACAAGGGACAUUUUCUACGGAGUUUAUUCUCGAAUAUUUCGAUUAUACUCGGAAACGAAUAAUUUUCAUUUCACCGACCUAUACGUUAUACGAUUUCGGAUUUAAUACGGAAAAAUCGUACGUGUAUCUUCCAAUUGCACCGCGACAUUUAACAACAAGAACUUUAUGCGACACUUUUAACAAUGUCACACGGUAUACGACACUAAAGUCAUUAGUAACGUUCCAACUAGACCGAAUGCGGUUUUUGCGGUACUUCAAUUUCAGUGGGUACAUGUAUAUAACGUUAUUUAUAGUUUGCAAUUUGUCGCGUUGAAACUAAAUCUCUCUUUAAACAUACGCAAUGAUGCGUGUUUAUAGACGUAGCGUUGAAAUAACAUCACGAUCUUUUUGUUUUUUCUUUCUGAUUGUUUGCUUUGCAUAAUUCCUAGUGCAAUCUAUAAUGUAUAAGCAGACAAGAAAUACCGAGAUAAUAUUUUUAUCUAAUCACAAUCUCUACCGAGUAUUUCUUCUUCUUUUUUUUUUUUACAACGUAAUGUCAUCGUAAUCUGAUCAUAAAGUUGAUUAUUUUUCUCCCGCAAUUUGAUUUCAUCUUAUGAAAUCUUACACGUAUGUGCCACCUACGUUUCCCUAUUGUGAUUUCCCUCUCUCGUCGCAUGAGCAUAUUAAUCAGUGUUGUGGUUUACUACAAUGCAUUCCAACAUGCAUAACACUGAAAUAUUCUCCUUUAUGUUCUCCCCUUCUUCCAUCAUUCUUUUACUCUGUGUCACUUCUCUGCCUCAAGAGCAAUCCUCUACUCUUGUCGAGUCUACUCCAACGUAUCCCUGUGUACAGGCUAACGUAAGAAUGAAAGGUUAAAAGCAUUACGAGCCGUGCAGUUCUCCCCGACGAAAGUACGCAAGUAAAUCGCAUGCUUGCAAAAUUUGGAGGAUUAUCGAUCGAACAUGUUUACACCAACUUUGUUAUAAAGGAUAAUCAAUGUUACGCGAACUAGUGAAAUUUAAAAAGGAGAAACGAGAACAGAGUUAAGUCCGUGUAGCACAAGCGUUGGUGAUCCCGUGGCAACGAGUGAGAUUCCCCCGCAGAGCAAUAAAGUGCAGCUUUUUAUUUUCCACUUUUUAGGACGAGCAUUCAAAGUGGAAAAAGAUUGUGUC
Molecule: long non-coding RNA, 2083 nt
Organism: Apis cerana (Asiatic honeybee)
Lineage: Eukaryota; Metazoa; Arthropoda; Insecta; Hymenoptera; Apidae
Source: RefSeq, a predicted model, not a curated record